AAAACUUAAAAAACUCUUAAAAUCAGGGACAUGCUGUCACAUAUUUUCCCUAAAUUUGUGACUUUAUUAAUACUUAUUUUUAGUGUAUGUUUAUUUAGGAGGAAUGAAUUUGUAAGAAAUAAGGUAAUAUUCUCAUUGUUUUGUUUAAACGAUAUAUAUAUUUUUUUAAAGUGUGAUUGUCAUUCAUGUUUUUAACUUAAAAAUCAAGAAAUAUAAAUAAAUAAAUACAUUAAGUGCUGCCUUAUACCUUUUUAUACUUGAAAAAUAAAAGUAUAAGAUUAUUGUGUAGAAGUUAGGAUAAAUUACACAAAACUACCUCAACUAUAGGUGUCACGACACUUUCAUACCUGAUCUUUUAAAAAUGACAAUGUCAUACAUCAUCUUAAAAAUUUGUGUCAAUGUCAUACAUCCGUUAGUUUUUCUGUUAAUUUCUCUGUGGCUAGAGGCGGGGCCCAUCACUAAUCCAACUGGAUUAAAAAAUUAUUAAAUAUAUUUUUAAUAAUUAAAAU
Molecule: long non-coding RNA, 509 nt
Filed under: Malus domestica (apple)
Lineage: Eukaryota; Viridiplantae; Streptophyta; Magnoliopsida; Rosales; Rosaceae
Description: long non-coding RNA (MDOM_LNC002973)
Source: RNAcentral